Molecule: small RNA, 780 nt
Filed under: Vigna angularis var. angularis
Lineage: Eukaryota; Viridiplantae; Streptophyta; Magnoliopsida; Fabales; Fabaceae
Description: Non-protein coding transcript
Source: RNAcentral
CGGAAUUUAUGUACGGAUACCAGAAAAAGCUUUAUAUACGGAUAUUAUAUACGGAUAUUUAUAUACGGAAUUUUCCGUAUAUACAUUCCGUAUAUAAAGUUUGCGCGUGGUGGCGGGAAAAUUAUCCAAGGAUACAUCCGUAUAUAACCCGUAGUAUCCGUAUGCAGUUAGAACGAAGUUGUUAACUGCGGAUAUUAUAUACAGAUGUGGGAAAUUAUUUUUUUAAAAUUUUUUUUUUCUGAUUAAUUGGAUGCUGAGCUGCAUAUCACACUCUGAAGAAGUGUUUUCCCCUCUUUCUCGAACCCUAACUCUGUUCUCGAACUCUAGAACUCUUGUUCUCUCUCGAACUCUCUUUCCCCUCUUCAUCAAUCCUUCAUCAACCAUUCAUUCACCUCUCCUCUCGAACAUUCAGUCAGCUCUCGUGUCGAGCCUUCGUCUGAAACCUUGAGUCACGUCCCCUCUGGAUCGUCUCUUCUCUGCAGCUGUAAAUCAUUCUUCUCUGGAGCCCUAACUCUGGUAAGUGAUUCUUCUUUUCGUUCAUGUUUAUGGUAAUCUGUAAUGGUUAGAAAUCUUUAAAAUUGAAACCUAAUCUGUGUUGAUUUGAUUUUCAUUGCCUCAUUUUUGGUUCGUUUGGGAAGACGUAGUUGGAUUUUGACGAGGCAUCGAUUGAGGCUGCUGUGUUGCGGUAUAAGCUGAGACGUAGAACUUGGUGCUGCGAAGGCCGAAGGAACCACAAAAAGGCCAAGAAAUCCAGUUCUCAAGUUCAUUGCUAGUGGUAAG